This 809-nucleotide ribosomal RNA is filed under the name uncultured bacterium. RNAcentral's name for it is "bacterial SSU rRNA". It matches the Rfam family "Bacterial small subunit ribosomal RNA", at positions 8 to 796 of the family's 1533-position model. The record is from RNAcentral.
AGAGUUUGAUCAUGGCUCAGAAUCAACGCUGGCGGCGUGCCUAACACAUGCAAGUCGAACGCGAAAGCCCCGCAAGGGGUAAGUAGAGUGGCAAACGGGUGAGUAACACGUGGGUGACCUGCCUUCGAGUGGGGGAUAACGUCCCGAAAGGGACGCUAAUACCGCAUAACAUGCCGCCUUUGAAGAGGUGGACAUCAAAGCCGGGGAUCGCAAGACCUGGCGCUGGAAGAGGGGCCCGCGUCCGAUUAGCUAGUUGGUGAGGUAAUGGCUCACCAAGGCGACGAUCGGUAGCCGGCCUGAGAGGGCGGACGGCCACACUGGGACUGAGACACGGCCCAGACUCCUACGGGAGGCAGCAGUGGGGAAUUGUUCGCAAUGGGCGCAAGCCUGACGACGCAACGCCGCGUGGAGGAUGAAGAUCUUCGGGUCGUAAACUCCUUUCGAUCGAGACGAAUUCCUCUGGGGUGAACAAUCCCGGAGGUUGACGGUACCGAGAGAAGAAGCCCCGGCUAACCCCGUGCCAGCAGCCGCGGUAAUACGGGGGGGGCAAGCGUUGUUCGGAAUUACUGGGCGUAAAGGGCUCGUAGGCGGCCAACUAAGUCGGACGUGAAAUCCCUCGGCUUAACCGGGGAACUGCGUCCGAUACUGGAUGGCUUGAGUUCGGGAGAGGGAUGCGGAAUUCCAGGUGUAGCGGUGAAAUGCGUAGAUAUCUGGAGGAACACCGGUGGCGAAGGCGGCAUCCUGGACCGACACUGACGCUGAGGAACGAAAGCCAGGGGAGCAAACGGGAUUAGAUACCCUAGUAGUCC